This 503-nucleotide long non-coding RNA is filed under the name Homo sapiens (human). RNAcentral's name for it is "non-protein coding LINC01273:9". Lineage: Eukaryota; Metazoa; Chordata; Mammalia; Primates; Hominidae. The record is from RNAcentral.
GACGCAGGCCCUGGGCUACAGCAACCUUACCAGCCCCUCCAGCUUAGAGGUGGCAGUGGCUCUCUGCGGCUGCGAUUUCUUUCUCGGAGCGUCCUCCCCAUCCCGUUCGGCCUCUGCCUCCACCGUCGUCUCUGUAACCCGUUCCCUGUGGGAGAGUCUCUGUUGCGGUGUUCAGGGGUUUCGGUUUUCUGGCUGAACAGUGAUUAACGCGAGGGAAGGCGCUGACGGCAAGGUGGCAGGAAGAACAUUCCAACACAGACCACAACACCUAUGGACCUGGAAAACAUUGUGCUCAGUGAAAGAAGCCAGACACAGAAGGACAAUGUUGUAUGAGGUCUUAUUCUGUUGCCCAGGCUGGACUGCAGUGGUGCAAUCCUAGCUCACUGCAGCUUCGACCUCCCGUGCUCAAGUGAUUUUCCCACCUCAGCCUCCCGAGUAGCUGGGACUACAGGUGCGUGCCACCACGCCUGGCUGAUUUUUCUUGUAUUUUUUUGUAGAGAUGG